This is a regulatory RNA element of Arcticibacter svalbardensis MN12-7, 78 nucleotides long. The record is from Rfam. NCBI's taxonomy places the organism in Bacteria, Pseudomonadati, Bacteroidota, Sphingobacteriia, Sphingobacteriales, Sphingobacteriaceae.
CGCUAAGUGGACUGAUUUGCUUUGUUCCGAAAAGGAAUGAGAUUGCAACCACGUAAAAAAAUCGCUAAUACCUGUUUA